This 429-nucleotide ribosomal RNA is filed under the name Bacteroidota bacterium. RNAcentral's name for it is "Bacteroidetes bacterium partial 16S ribosomal RNA". It matches the Rfam family "Bacterial small subunit ribosomal RNA", at positions 355 to 776 of the family's 1533-position model. Lineage: Bacteria; Pseudomonadati; Bacteroidota. The record is from RNAcentral.
UAGGGAAUCUUCGGCAAUGGGGGGAACCCUGACCGAGCAACGCCGCGUGAGUGAAGAAGGUUUUCGGAUCGUAAAGCUCUGUUGUUAAGGGAGAACGAGUGUGAGAAUGGAAAGUUCAUACUGUGACGGUACUUAACCAGAAAGGGACGGCUAACUACGUGCCAGCAGCCGCGGUAAUACGUAGGUCCCGAGCGUUGUCCGGAUUUAUUGGGCGUAAAGCGAGCGCAGGCGGUUAGAUAAGUCUGAAGUUAAAGGCAGUGGCUCAACCAUUGUAGGCUUUGGAAACUGUUUAACUUGAGUGCAGAAGGGGAGAGUGGAAUUCCAUGUGUAGCGGUGAAAUGCGUAGAUAUAUGGAGGAACACCGGUGGCGAAAGCGGCUCUCUGGUCUGUAACUGACGCUGAGGCUCGAAAGCGUGGGGAGCGAACAGG